UGGGGAAUAUUGGACAAUGGGCGCAAGCCUGAUCCAGCCAUGCCGCGUGAGUGAUGAAGGCCCUAGGGUUGUAAAGCUCUUUCACCGGUGAAGAUAAUGACGGUAACCGGAGAAGAAGCCCCGGCUAACUUCGUGCCAGCAGCCGCGGUAAUACGAAGGGGGCUAGCGUUGUUCGGACUUACUGGGCGUAAAGCGCACGUAGGCGGACUAUUAAGUCAGGGGUGAAAUCCCGGGGCUCAACCCCGGAACUGCCUUUGAUACUGGUAGUCUUGAGUUCGAGAGAGGUGAGUGGAAUUCCGAGUGUAGAGGUGAAAUUCGUAGAUAUUCGGAGGAACACCAGUGGCGAAGGCGGCUCACUGGCUCGAUACUGACGCUGAGGUGCGAAAGCGUGGGGAGCAAACAGG
RNAcentral lists this ribosomal RNA (404 nucleotides) under Actinomycetes bacterium. RNAcentral's name for it is "Actinobacteria bacterium partial 16S ribosomal RNA". It matches the Rfam family "Bacterial small subunit ribosomal RNA", at positions 355 to 776 of the family's 1533-position model. Lineage: Bacteria; Bacillati; Actinomycetota; Actinomycetes. The record is from RNAcentral.